UAAAUACUCCCGAGAGACCGAUAGCGAACCAGUACCGUGAGGGAAAGGUGAAAAGAACCCCGAGCAGGGGAGUGAAAUAGACCCUGAACCCGUCUGCCUACAAGCGGUCGGAGCAUAGCAAUAUGUGACGGCGUGCCUUUUGCAUAAUGAACCUACGAGUUACCUUCCCCGGCAAGGUUAAGUACCUAAGGUACGGAGCCGAAGCGAAAGCGAGUCUGAAGAGGGCGGCCAGUCGGGGGGGGUAGACGCGAAACCGAGUGAUCUACCCUUGGCCAGGUUGAAGGUUGGGUAACACCAACUGGAGGACCGGAUGGGUAAGCGUUGAAAAGCUUUCCAAUGAGCUGAGGGUAGGGGUGAAAGGCUAAUCAAACUCGGAGAUAGCUCGUACUCCCCGAAAUGCAUUUAGGUGCAGCCUCUUUAUAGUAUAUCGUGAGGUAGAGCGACUGAUUGGAUGCGAGGGCUUCACCGCCUAUCAAGUCCAGAUAAACUCCGAAUGCGCGAUAUAUAUUUACAGGGAGUGAGGGCGCGGGUGCUAAGGUCCGUGUCCGAGAGGAGAAGAAUCCAGACCACCGGCUAAGGCCCCCAAAUGAUCGUUGAGUUGAACUAACGAGGUCGGAUCGCAGAGACAGCUAGGAUGUUGGCUUGGAAGCAGCCAUUCAUUUAAAGAGUGCGUAACAGCUCACUAGUCGAGCGAUCUGGCGUGGAUAAUAAUCGGGCAUAAACGAUCUGCCGAAGCCGUGGAUGUCGUAAGACAUGGUAGGGGAGCAUUCCAUGCGGCGUCGAAGAUGAGGGAUGACCCUUGUUGGAGCGCAUGGAAAAGCAAAUGUAGGUAUGAGUAACGAUAAGGGGGGCGAGAAACCCCCCCGCCGAAAGACCAAGGUUUCCUGAUCAACGCUAAUCGGAUCAGGGUGAGUCGGGACCUAAGGCAAAGCCGAACGGCGCCGCCGAUGGAAGAAUGGGUUAAUAUUCCCAUACUGCCUCAUGGAGUGACGUGGAGACGGAGAAGUGACAGUCCUGCCGGCUGACGGAAUAGCCGGUUGAAGGGUGUAGAUAUUGAUUCCCGUAGGCAAAUCCGCGGGGAGAGUCGAACCUGACAGUAUACCGAGUACUUGUACGAGGUAAUAUGGACGUAACCAUGCUCCCAAGAAAAUCCGCUAAACUUAUCCAUGCGGCACCCGUACCGUAAACGGACACACGUGGUCGGGUUGAGAAUACUGAGGCGCUCGAGUGACUCACGGUUAAGGAACUAGGCAAAUUGACCCUGUAACUUCGGGAUAAAGGGUCCUCGUCGUAAGGCGAGGCGCAGAGAAUAGGUCCAGGCAACUGUUUAACAAAAACACAUGGCUAUGCUAAAUGGAAACAUGACGUAUAUAGCCUGACACCUGCCCGGUGCUGGAAGGUUAAGAGGAGAUGUCAUCGCAAGAGAAGCGUUGAAUUGAAGCCCCAGUAAACGGCGGCCGUAACUAUAACGGUCCUAAGGUAGCGAAAUUCCUUGUCGGGUAAGUUCCGACCUGCACGAAUGGUGUAAUGAUCUGGACACUGUCUCAACCGUGAGCUCGGUGAAAUUGUAGUAUCGGUGAAGAUGCCGAUUACCCGCGAUGGGACGAAAAGACCCCGUGAACCUUUACUAUAGCUUUACAUUGAAUUUGGGCAGACGAUGUGUAGGAUAGGCCGGAGGCUUUGAAGGGGGUACGCCAGUAUCCUUGGAGCCGCCGUUGAAAUACGGCCCUUCGGUUGUUUGAGUUCUAACUCCUAGGCAGGAGGACACUGUAUGGUGGGUAGUUUGACUGGGGUGGUCGCCUCCAAAAGCGUAACGGAGGCUUCUAAAGGUGCCCUCAGACCGAUUGGUAACCGGUCGUAGAGUGUAAUGGCAUAAGGGCGCUUGACUGGGAGACAGACAAGUCGAUCAGGUAGGAAACUAGAGCAUAGUGAUCCGGUGGUUCCGCAUGGAAGGGCCAUCGCUCAAAGGAUAAAAGGUACUCCGGGGAUAACAGGCUGAUCCCUCCCAAGAGCUCAUAUCGACGGAGUGGUUUGGCACCUCGAUGUCGGCUCGUCACAUCCUGGGGCUGGAGAAGGUCCCAAGGGUUGGGCUGUUCGCCCAUUAAAGUGGCACGCGAGCUGGGUUCAGAACGUCGUGAGACAGUUCGGUCUCUAUCUAUCGUGGGCGCAGGAGAUUUGAGGGGCUCUGACACUAGUACGAGAGGACCGUGUUGGACGUACCACUGGUUUACCGGUUGUCCCGCCAGGGGCACCGCCGGGUAUCUAAGUACGGAUCGGAUAAGUGCUGAAAGCAUCUAAGUACGAAGCCGGCCUCAAGAUUAGAUCUCCCUGAAGGGUGGUUAUAGACGAUGACCUUGAUAGGCCACAGGUGUAAGGGCGGCGACGUCCGAGCCGAGUGGUACUAAUAGCCCGGGACUUUCCUCA
Molecule: ribosomal RNA, 2424 nt
Filed under: human gut metagenome
Description: bacterial LSU rRNA
Rfam family: Bacterial large subunit ribosomal RNA
Source: RNAcentral